AAGCUCGUAGUGAAUUUCGGGGUUAGUAGGUUGGUCAUGCCUCCGGUAUGUACUGGUCUCACUGAUUCCUCCUUCCUGAUGAACCGUAAUGCCAUUAAUUUGGUGUUGCGGGGAAUUUGGACUGUUACUUUGAAAAAAUUAGAGUGUUUAAAGCAAGCUAACGCUUGAAUACAUUAGCAUGGAAUAAUGAAAUAGGACGUUCGAUCCUAUUUUGUUGGUUUCUAGGAUUGACGUAAUGAUUAAUAGGAUAGUUGG
Molecule: ribosomal RNA, 255 nt
Filed under: uncultured Glomus
Lineage: Eukaryota; Fungi; Glomeromycota; Glomeromycetes; Glomerales; Glomeraceae
Description: partial 18S ribosomal RNA
Rfam family: Eukaryotic small subunit ribosomal RNA
Source: RNAcentral